UUGGAUUAAUGUUGUGGACCGCUCUGCUC
This 29-nucleotide non-coding RNA is filed under the name Mus musculus (house mouse). The record is from RNAcentral. Lineage: Eukaryota; Metazoa; Chordata; Mammalia; Rodentia; Muridae.